UGGGGUAUCGCCAAGCGGUAGCCAAGCGGUAAGGCACCGGUUUUUGAUACCGGCAUUCCCUGGUUCGAAUCCAGGUACCCCAGCCA
Molecule: transfer RNA, 86 nt
Filed under: Klebsiella pneumoniae
Lineage: Bacteria; Pseudomonadati; Pseudomonadota; Gammaproteobacteria; Enterobacterales; Enterobacteriaceae
Description: tRNA-Gln
Rfam family: tRNA
About the family: Transfer RNA (tRNA) molecules are approximately 80 nucleotides in length. Their secondary structure includes four short double-helical elements and three loops (D, anti-codon, and T loops).
Source: RNAcentral